Molecule: ribosomal RNA, 301 nt
Filed under: uncultured bacterium
Lineage: Bacteria
Description: partial 16S ribosomal RNA
Rfam family: Bacterial small subunit ribosomal RNA
Source: RNAcentral
CAGUCGCCACGGUAAUACGUAGGGUGCAAGCGUUAAUCGGAAUUACUGGGCGUAAAGGGCUCGCAGGCGGUUUCUUAAGUCUGAUGUGAAAGCCCCCGGCUCAACCGGGGAGGGUCAUUGGAAACUGGGAAACUUGAGUGCAGAAGAGGAGAGUGGAAUUCCACGUGUAGCGGUGAAAUGCGUAGAGAUGUGGAGGAACACCAGUGGCGAAGGCGACUCUCUGGUCUGUAACUGACGCUGAGGAGCGAAAGCGUGGGGAGCGAACAGGAUUAGAUACCCCCGUAGUCCCUGUCUCUUAUAC